UCUAGCUUGUAUAUUGGGGUUUAUCAAAAAUUUUGGUUGGGGC
Molecule: non-coding RNA, 43 nt
Filed under: Daubentonia madagascariensis (aye-aye)
Lineage: Eukaryota; Metazoa; Chordata; Mammalia; Primates; Daubentoniidae
Source: RNAcentral